This 436-nucleotide transfer RNA is filed under the name Paracidovorax avenae. Its description in RNAcentral is "Acidovorax avenae partial 16S-23S ribosomal RNA intergenic spacer". The stretch from base 43 to 115 matches the Rfam family "tRNA". The record is from RNAcentral. Lineage: Bacteria; Pseudomonadati; Pseudomonadota; Betaproteobacteria; Burkholderiales; Comamonadaceae.
AGACCCACCAAAUCUUCCGAACAAUAGAUGGCGAGGAUCAGUGGGGGAUUAGCUCAGCUGGGAGAGCACCUGCUUUGCAAGCAGGGGGUCGUCGGUUCGAUCCCGUCAUCCUCCACCAACCAAUAAUCAUCCAACACCAAAGCGGCUUCGCAAGAGGCUUCUUUGUUGUUGGUCCGGUAUAGACCGGAUCAAUCGGCUGUUCUUUAAAAAUUCAUAGAGUCGAAUCAGCGUUGCCGGCGGAAAGCAGGAAACUGCACCGUGCCGCCGGUGACAAAAAUUUGAUUGCGUCAAAACGAAUGUUCAAUUUGCGAAAGCUAGUUGAAAUUCAGUAAUGACGAAUUGUUCUCUAGGUAGUGAUACCGAAGAAGAAUUCACAUUACGGCAUAACGCGCGAGGUGAAAGACCUCGCAAGUCCUUGAAAGAAAGCGGAGAUGUC